RNAcentral lists this ribosomal RNA (458 nucleotides) under uncultured bacterium. RNAcentral's name for it is "bacterial SSU rRNA". It matches the Rfam family "Bacterial small subunit ribosomal RNA", at positions 29 to 534 of the family's 1533-position model. The record is from RNAcentral.
AACGAACGCUGGCGGCAUGCCUAACACAUGCAAGUCGAACGAGACCUUCGGGUCUAGUGGCGCACGGGUGCGUAACGCGUGGGAAUCUGCCCUUGGGUUCGGAAUAACUUCGGGAAACUGAAGCUAAUACCGGAUGAUGACGUAAGUCCAAAGAUUUAUCGCCCAAGGAUGAGCCCGCGUAGGAUUAGCUAGUUGGUGAGGUAAAGGCUCACCAAGGCGACGAUCCUUAGCUGGUCUGAGAGGAUGAUCAGCCACACUGGGACUGAGACACGGCCCAGACUCCUACGGGAGGCAGCAGUGGGGAAUAUUGGACAAUGGGCGAAAGCCUGAUCCAGCAAUGCCGCGUGAGUGAUGAAGGCCUUAGGUUGUAAAGCUCUUUACCCGGGAUGAUAAUGACAGUACCGGGAGAAUAAGCUCCGGCUAACUCCGUGCCAGCAGCCGCGGUAAAGUGACUACUG